RNAcentral lists this ribosomal RNA (500 nucleotides) under uncultured bacterium. RNAcentral describes it as "bacterial SSU rRNA". It matches the Rfam family "Bacterial small subunit ribosomal RNA", at positions 28 to 524 of the family's 1533-position model. The record is from RNAcentral.
GAUUAACGCUGGCGGCAUGCCUAAUACAUGCAAGUCGAACGGAAGCAGCAAUGCUUUAGUGGCGAACGGGUGAGUAACACGUAGGGAACCUACCUAUACGACGAGGAUAACUACUGGAAACGGUAGCUAAAACUGGAUAGGAUCAAUUGAGGCAUCUUGAUUGAUUUAAAGAUCCUUCGGGAUUACGUAGAGAUGGCCCUGCGGCGCAUUAGCUAGUUGGUGAGGUAACGGCCCACCAAGGCGACGAUGCGUAGCUGAGCUGAGAGGCUAAACAGCCACACUGGGACUGAGACACGGCCCAGACUCCUACGGGAGGCAGGCAGUAGGGAAUUUUCGGCAAUGGGGGAAACCCUGACCGAGCAAUGCCGCGUGAACGAUGAAGGUCUUCGGAUUGUAAAGUUCUGUGAUUGGGGAAGAAUGGUAUUCUUAGGGAAUGAGGAGUACAUGACGGUACCCGAUUAGAAAGCCCCGGCUAACUAUGUGCCAGCAGCCGCGGUAAA